AGGGAAAGAGGGAGGCAGGCCUAACACAUGCAAGUCGAACGGUAACAGGAAACAGCUUGCUGUUUCGCUGACGAGUGGCGGACGGGUGAGUAAUGUCUGGGAAACUGCCUGAUGGAGGGGGAUAACUACUGGAAACGGUAGCUAAUACCGCAUAACGUCGCAAGACCAAAGAGGGGGACCCUCGGGCCUCUUGCCAUCGGAUGUGCCCAGAUGGGAUUAGCUUGUUGGUGGGGUAACGGCUCACCAAGGCGACGAUCCCUAGCUGGUCUGAGAGGAUGACCAGCCACACUGGAACUGAGACACGGUCCAGACUCCUACGGGAGGCAGCAGUGGGGAAUAUUGCACAAUGGGCGCAAGCCUGAUGCAGCCAUGCCGCGUGUAUGAAGAAGGCCUUCGGGUUGUAAAGUACUUUCAGCGGGGAGGAAGGGAGUAAAGUUAAUACCUUUGCUCAUUGACGUUACCCGCAGGAGAAGCACCGGCUAACUCCGUG
This 490-nucleotide ribosomal RNA is filed under the name uncultured bacterium. Its description in RNAcentral is "partial 16S ribosomal RNA". It matches the Rfam family "Bacterial small subunit ribosomal RNA", at positions 38 to 507 of the family's 1533-position model. The record is from RNAcentral.